CGAAACCGAUAGCGAACAAGUACCGUGAGGGAAAGUUGAAAAGUACUCUGAAUAGAGAGUUAAAUAGUACGUGAAACCGCUUAGGGGUUAAGCCCGAUGAACCCGAAUAUCUGAUGUGAGAAAUUCAAUACAAUUCAAAUUCAUAUUUUUAUAUUGGAUUUGUAUAGUAUGCACUUUUCUCAUAGUAAGACAUUGUAAUCCAUUGAUAUUAUAUCUCAUAUGAGAUGAUUUAACAUACGGACAAAAUGUUUAUGAUUAUUCUAUCAGUAAUAUGUUUACAUGUUAUAUGAAUAAAAUCGUUUUGUUUCCUGUUUAAAUAGUCGAUGGAUUUUUCAUUGAAAUCAUGUUUGCAAUUUAUUUUGCGUUUCGUAUCAUUAAUUUUUAAUUGUUGAUAGCAGAAAUGGCAUGUAUUCGAUUAACAAUGCGAUAGAUUUGGGAUACUUUCAGGACCCGUCUUGA
Molecule: ribosomal RNA, 459 nt
Filed under: Mayetiola destructor (Hessian fly)
Lineage: Eukaryota; Metazoa; Arthropoda; Insecta; Diptera; Cecidomyiidae
Description: partial large subunit ribosomal RNA
Rfam family: Eukaryotic large subunit ribosomal RNA
Source: RNAcentral